This 465-nucleotide ribosomal RNA is filed under the name Vreelandella stevensii. RNAcentral's name for it is "partial 16S ribosomal RNA". It matches the Rfam family "Bacterial small subunit ribosomal RNA", at positions 338 to 795 of the family's 1533-position model. Lineage: Bacteria; Pseudomonadati; Pseudomonadota; Gammaproteobacteria; Oceanospirillales; Halomonadaceae. The record is from RNAcentral.
CCUACGGGAGGCAGCAGUGGGGAAUAUUGGACAAUGGGGGCAACCCUGAUCCAGCCAUGCCGCGUGUGUGAAGAAGGCCCUCGGGUUGUAAAGCACUUUCAGUGAGGAAGAACGCCUGGUGGUUAAGACCCAUCAGGAAAGACAUCACUCACAGAAGAAGCACCGGCUAACUCCGUGCCAGCAGCCGCGGUAAUACGGAGGGUGCGAGCGUUAAUCGGAAUUACUGGGCGUACAGCGCGCGUAGGUGGCUUGAUAAGCCGGUUGUGAAAGCCCCGGGCUCAACCUGGGAACGGCAUCCGGACCUGUCAAGCUAGAGUGCAGGAGAGGAAGGUAGAAUUCCCGGUGUAGCGGUGAAAUGCGUAGAGAUCGGGAGGAAUACCAGUGGCGAAGGCGGCCUUCUGGACUGACACUGACACUGAGGUGCGAAAGCGUGGGUAGCACACAGGAUUAGAUACCCCGGUAGUC